This 460-nucleotide ribosomal RNA is filed under the name uncultured bacterium. RNAcentral's name for it is "partial 16S ribosomal RNA". It matches the Rfam family "Bacterial small subunit ribosomal RNA", at positions 338 to 795 of the family's 1533-position model. The record is from RNAcentral.
CCUACGGGCGGCAGCAGUGAGGAAUAUUGGUCAAUGGGCGCGAGCCUGAACCAGCCAAGUCGCGUGAAGGAUGACGGCCCUACGGGUUGUAAACUUCUUUUGUAAAGGAGUAAAGUGAGGCACGUGUGCCUUAUUGAGCGUACUUUAAGAACAAGCAUCGGCUAACUCCGUGCCAGCAGCCGCGGUAAUACGGAGGAUCCGAGCGUUAUCCGGAUUUAUUGGGGUUAAAGGGAGCGUAGGUGGGUAGUUAAGUCUGUUGUGAAAAUUCGCGGCUCAAACGUCAGAUUGCAUUUGAUACUGGCAGUCUUGAGUGCGGGUGAGGUAGGCGGAAUGCGUGGUGUAGCGGUGAAAUGCUUAGAUAUCACGAAGAACUCCGAUUGCGAAGGCAGCUUACUGGACAGCAACUGACGCUGAUGCUCGAAAGUGUGGGUAUCAAACAGGAUUAGAUACCCGUGUAGUC